Non-coding RNA from Vicugna pacos (alpaca), 579 nucleotides. Lineage: Eukaryota; Metazoa; Chordata; Mammalia; Artiodactyla; Camelidae. The record is from RefSeq and is a predicted model, not a curated record.
AAGGAGGAGGAGGCGGCGACAAAGGAGGAGGAGAUAGCAUCCGGGGCGGCGACGCCGGAAGCGGGGGCUCGGGCGACUUCCCCAAACCCGGAAACCCUAGUUCGGGUGCCCUGGUUGCACCGAGCCGGCCCCGUCGCCCUCUUCUCUCCGCUCCGAGUGAACCCCCGGUUCCCGGGCUCCGCGCUCGCCCAGCUCCCGCCCGUCCGCUCCCCAAAGCCGGGUUUUUGUUUUUGUUUUUGUUUUGAAAGAACCAAUAAAAUAAAACUCCUGGCUAGCCAGACGAAGGCUGGAAUAUAGAAAUAACUGUCACUCCAUGCCAACCAUGCAGAUGAGGACAACAUCCCAGUAGAUGUCAGGGCAGUAAGAUGAAGGAACAUGGGUCACUGAAUAACCUGGAGGAGCAAGGGUGUUCCCCCAGCCUGGACUAGUCAACAACUGUGUAAGAAAACAAAAUCAACUUCAAUUUUAUUUAUACCACUGUAUUUCUCUCUGUCCCUCUCUCUCUGUCCCUGUCUCUGUCUUACAAAUGUGUUUAGCUUUUACCACAACUAAACCAGUAGAAAUUCACGUUAGAAAAAA